AAUGAGUGUAGCCGUCGGCAAGUCUCUGGGCCUGUAUUUCAUGCAAGGGAACUGUUUCUUCCUAAUGAUGCUCUCUGAGUAAUUAGAGUCUAAAACAUGGAUUUUCCCUUCCUGUCUAUUUUCUGAGAGCUCAGGAUUUUAGUAAAAGAUAAGGGACAGAGGCAACCUGACCCAUCAGCAGCCAAUCAAGAAACAUUUGUCUGGGAAUGAAGGUGAAAGAAAACCAAUGAAGGAGCAGCUCCAGUUCUACAAUCAAGAGGACAAGACAUCCAUGACAGCUCAACUCAUGACCCUCAAAGGAGGACUUCCAGAACUGCUGCAGAAAGUGACAGGAACGAUGGGAUAUUUAUUGGCCUUAUCACCUGUGGGAAGGUAACUUAAUAGAAUAUGAAUCCACAUGCUGCACAGUUCCUGGUCUUCAGAAGUUCAGCACUCCUAUGGCGGCGGGGAGAUGCAUGCACAGCCGGCGGAACUACAGGUUCUAACAAUUCCGACCUCUGACCGUUUCUUGACUCGUUCCCCUCCCUGUCAUGGGCAAGCCUGCUAUGUUAGCUCAAGCCAUCCAUAGCUCUUUUGGUUUUCUGCAGCAAUCACUCGUAACAUUGCUCCUCCACAAAACAAAACAAAAGAAAACAUCACUCCUUGUCCCCAGUCGUGCCUGCUUCAAAUCUAUUCUUCACAAUGUUCUUUCUAAAAUGCUAUGCUAAAUUGGAUCUGGUGGGGCA
This is a long non-coding RNA of Chinchilla lanigera (long-tailed chinchilla), 725 nucleotides long. RefSeq lists it as uncharacterized. The record is from RefSeq and is a predicted model, not a curated record. NCBI's taxonomy places the organism in Eukaryota, Metazoa, Chordata, Mammalia, Rodentia, Chinchillidae. The transcript is spliced from 4 exons.